Molecule: non-coding RNA, 369 nt
Organism: Musa acuminata subsp. malaccensis (wild Malaysian banana)
Lineage: Eukaryota; Viridiplantae; Streptophyta; Magnoliopsida; Zingiberales; Musaceae
Source: RefSeq, a predicted model, not a curated record
UGCUACAAUAUUUAUAACCGGAAUCCCAAUUCCGCUAUUUCCCUCCCAAACCAUCGAUCGGCGUGCAACCCCUCGAUUCCAUUCGCCCUUGUUGCGUAUCUCCUUCGAUCCGUCGAUCGAGGAUGGUGUCUAUCGCGGCGGGGAGCGGGUUGCCCUGGAGAUCGCCUCCAGCCGCCUCUAGGAUUUGGUUGAUUCCCUUCAUCAAUCCGGCGCACCAGUUACGAAUCAUAUCAUCUUGAAUCGAAUGGUUUCCUACAUCAAUCAGGAUCACCAGGACCUUGCUUCAGGAACUCUGUAGUCUCCCCAAAGACUGGCCAACCCAUAGUCCCCGGAGGCAGGCUCUUCUUCCUGUACCUCACCUCAUUCCAU